GACGAACGCUGGCGGCGCGCUUAACACAUGCAAGUCGAACGGAAAGGCCUGCUUUCCCUUGUGGAUUGCGGGUACUCGAGUGGCGAACGGGUGAGUAACACGUGAGUGAUCUGCCCCCAACUUGGGUAUAAGCCUGGGAAACUGGGUCUAAUUCCCGAUAGGACUGCAGGGUGGUGCCUGUGGUGGCAAACGAUUUUCUAGUGGUUGGGGAUGAGCUCGCAGCCUAUCAGCUUGUUGGUGGGGUAAUGGCCUACCAAGGCGGCGACGGGUAGCCGGCCUGGGGGGGCGGACGGGCGCAGUGGGACUGAGAUACGGCGCAGACGCCAACGGGAGGCAGCAUAGGGGAAUAUUGCACAAGGAGCGGAAGCCUGAGGCAGCGACGCCGCGGGGGGGAUGACGGCCUUCGGAUUAUAAACUCCUUUCGACCGCGAGGAAGCCACCUGGUUGGAAGGGGGGUGACGGUAGUGGUAGAAGAAGCACCGGCUAACUACGUG
Molecule: ribosomal RNA, 494 nt
Filed under: uncultured bacterium
Lineage: Bacteria
Description: partial 16S ribosomal RNA
Rfam family: Bacterial small subunit ribosomal RNA
Source: RNAcentral